AUACAUGCAAGUCGAACGCGUUUCCGUUAUUGAUUUUAGAUGCUUGCAUUUAAAUGAUUUAACACGAAACGAGUGGCGAACUGGUGAGUAACACGUGGGUAACCUGCCCUUGAAGUAGGGGAUAACACUUGGAAACAGGUGCUAAUACCGUAUAACAACCAAAACCACAUGGUUUUGGUUUAAAAGAUGGCUUCGGCUAUCACUUUAGGAUGGACCCGCGGCGUAUUAGCUUGUUGGUAAGGUAAUGGCCUACCAAGGCAAUGAUACGUAGCCGACCUGAGAGGGUAAUCGGCCACAUUGGGACUGAGACACGGCCCAAACUCCUACGGGAGGCAGCAGUAGGGAAUCUUCCACAAUGGACGAAAGUCUGAUGGAGCAACGCCGCGUGAGUGAUGAAGGGUUUCGGCUCGUAAAACUCUGUUGUUGGAGAAGAACAGGUGUCAGAGUAACUGUUGACAUCUUGACGGUAUCCAACCAGAAAGCCACGGCUAACUACGUGCCAGCAGCCGCGGUAAUACGUAGGUGGCAAGCGUUGUCCGGAUUUAUUGGGCGUAAAGCGAGCGCAGGCGGUUUCUUAGGUCUGAUGUGAAAGCCUUCGGCUUAACCGGAGAAGUGCAUCGGAAACCAGGAGACUUGAGUGCAGAAGAGGACAGUGGAACUCCAUGUGUAGCGGUGAAAUGCGUAGAUAUAUGGAAGAACACCAGUGGCGAAGGCGGCUGUCUGGUCUGUAACUGACGCUGAGGCUCGAAAG
RNAcentral lists this ribosomal RNA (751 nucleotides) under Lentilactobacillus kefiri. Its description in RNAcentral is "bacterial SSU rRNA". It matches the Rfam family "Bacterial small subunit ribosomal RNA", at positions 51 to 759 of the family's 1533-position model. The record is from RNAcentral. Lineage: Bacteria; Bacillati; Bacillota; Bacilli; Lactobacillales; Lactobacillaceae.